GCGCAGCAGUCGAGAAUACUUUACAAUGUGCGAAAGCACGAUAAGGGAACUCUGAGUGCCUCCUAAGGGGGCUGUUCAGGUGUCUAAAAGCACCUGAAGGAAGGGCUGGGUAAGACCGGUGCCAGCCGCCGCGGUAUCACCGGGCAGCCCAAGUGGUAGCCACGUUUAUUGGGUCUAAAGCGUCCGUAGCCGGGCUGGGUAAGUUCCUUGGGAAAUUUGGCUGCUUAACAGUCAAGCUUUCA
Molecule: ribosomal RNA, 242 nt
Filed under: uncultured microorganism
Description: partial 16S ribosomal RNA
Rfam family: Archaeal small subunit ribosomal RNA
Source: RNAcentral